Austrofundulus limnaeus is the source of this 430-nucleotide long non-coding RNA. RefSeq lists it as uncharacterized. The record is from RefSeq and is a predicted model, not a curated record. The transcript has 4 exons. NCBI's taxonomy places the organism in Eukaryota, Metazoa, Chordata, Actinopteri, Cyprinodontiformes, Rivulidae.
GCGCUACAAAACCAGACCGGAUGUGACCAUCGUAAAGCGGGAGAAGAGAAGCUGCCUCUCUUUUUCGCCUGUUUUUCUCUUUUGUCUCUUUUAUAUGGCUUGUUGCCAAAAUUUAGUUUCUCUCAUAACUUAAUUUUGUACGCCACAGGUUCAGAACUGAUCUCCUGCCCUGGGGGCUAUGGACCAGGACCAGAACCUGAGAUGAUGCUGCCAGGUAACCAGUCACCUGUCGACCCAAUCCUCUUGACGGCAGCGGUGACAUCGUGCAGGUAAAUGUUUCCCUGAUCUGUCUGGCUGUUUUCUCUCUCUACUAAUCUCAUGGAUAAACCAGAGUUAAGUUUAAAUGAGAUUUUGGUAUUUUAAUUAUCAGCAGUUUGACAUAAUGUAUUCUAACUUUAAGUUGAUUUUAAUAAAAAAAAAAUUAAUGGAA